UUUCGCACGCAAUGUUUUAAUGAUGGUGCACUUAAAACUGCCCGAGUUAAAAUAGGAUCCAUAAUGCUCUUUAAAGGCCUUUUUCUGCCGUCUCACAUUCACCUGGAUUUCUCAGGUGCUUUAAAAAAGUCAAAAAUGAAGACAACUUGAUUAUGUAAACUUAAUGAAGCCAGCACAGCCACACGAGCAGCGCUGCAGGGUCUGGGUCCAUUGCAUCUCAGCUGCAGAGCAACACACAUUUAGAUAGAAACAUCCAGUUAAAACACUGCUGUACAAAGCAUUUUACAGCCUUUACAUGGAUUCCAAUUCAUCUCAGCCUGAAAAGCUCUUGAGUCUGUAUCAGAGGUGAACAAGGGAGCUUUUUAAAUUAACAGCCGUUUAAGACUGGAAGUCAGUGAGACGAUAUGUGAUGUGCCAAGAUAGAAAAGACCUCAGUCGUAAUGCUGUAUCCAGUUCACAGAAGGCUGCUGAGGCACCCUCAUGUAAUUCUUUUCUGGUAAAUAAAUUGUGUGGGAUCAUCUCAGGUAUUUUUCCACCUCCUGUGACUGUGAGCUUCCAGACUUUUGAUCUCUGAUGCCUUUAUUUCAGCUCAGCAGCUGUGUUAGGGAAGUGUAAGCACACACGCAAGCACACCAAGACUUCAGUCCAGAUGGCUUUGAGCGUGGACACCUCCUGCAGCACCAAGAUUUACAGGAGGUUGCAAUGCCAGGAUAUGGAGACAUCACACAGCAAGAGAAGGCACAAUAGGAAUAAACUAUUACAAAUGUUGGAUACAUUCCUGUUUAUCAGAAAGGAG
This 796-nucleotide long non-coding RNA is filed under the name Gallus gallus (chicken). Its description in RNAcentral is "long non-coding RNA NONGGAT005513". The record is from RNAcentral. Lineage: Eukaryota; Metazoa; Chordata; Aves; Galliformes; Phasianidae.